RNAcentral lists this ribosomal RNA (376 nucleotides) under uncultured bacterium. Its description in RNAcentral is "bacterial SSU rRNA". It matches the Rfam family "Bacterial small subunit ribosomal RNA", at positions 524 to 898 of the family's 1533-position model. The record is from RNAcentral.
GACGUAGGAUGCAAGCGUUGUCCGGAUUUAUUGGGCGUAAAGAGUUCGUAGGCUGUUUGUUAAGUCUGGUGUUAAAGACUGAGGCCCAACCUCGGAAAUGCAUCGGAUACUGGCAGACUUGAGUACGGUAGAGGCGAGUGGAAUUCCCAGUGUAGCGGUGAAAUGCGUAGAUAUUGGGAAGAACACCGGUGGCGUAGGCGACUCGCUGGGCCGCAACUGACGCUGAGGAACGAAAGCCAGGGGAGCGAAUGGGAUUAGAUACCCCAGUAGUCCUGGCUGUAAACGAUGGAUACUAGGCGUUAUGGGUAUCGACCCCCGUAGUGCCGCAGCUAACGCGAUAAGUAUCCCGCCUGAGUAGUACGGCCGCAAGGUUGAA